ACACUCACUCCCUCCCCUCACACACACUCCCUCCCCUCACGCACGAUGAGAAACACCCCCGAUCUGACAGAGGAGCUCACACCCUACCCCUCCACCCUCGCCGAGGGCUGGGGCUGAGGUUGGGGCUGGGGCUCUGCCGGGGGGUGGGGGGCUAUUGCCGGCAGCGAGCAAUGGAGUGAGGCUCAGGCUGCAGAGUUGACUUGGUGUAAGCUGAGACUCCCAUGAGUUGAAGAAGGUAUGACAGGAAGUCUUGAGACGAGGGAGUUGCCGCUGGUAUUUCUACCAAAAACGCAAAAGUUCUGACCCUCUGUCCUCGGACAUACGAGUCGGAUUUUUCUUAAAAGGUCAUCAUGGAAUUGGGAUGUUUUGUCCAGGUACAUUGAAAGAAUUGGGGACUAAAAUGAUGGCCCAAAACUUGCUUGGCGUCCUUCACAUUGGAUUGAAAAGGAUGGGACAAGUACAUGUGAGAGAGUUUGCAGGACGUGCGAGAUUGAGCAAUUCACCACCAUUUCCUGCUGAAAGUGAUUCUGAUGAUAAAAUGAGUUCUGAUGAAUCCGAUUACGACAAUACAUUUUCGGUUCAACUGUGAUGUCCAACAAACCAGUAAUGUUGUUACUUUUGAUCAAUAAUGUUGACUUAGUUAUGUUGAUACAUUCAUUAAUAAAGACGCUAUAUACUGAA
Callorhinchus milii (elephant shark) is the source of this 681-nucleotide long non-coding RNA. RefSeq lists it as uncharacterized. The transcript has 4 exons. NCBI's taxonomy places the organism in Eukaryota, Metazoa, Chordata, Chondrichthyes, Chimaeriformes, Callorhinchidae. The record is from RefSeq and is a predicted model, not a curated record.